UCGACGAGACCUUUCACCAACCGGCAUUCGUUUAGGUCGUGGUGGUGGGUUUUGUGGAUUUGGCACCACUUGCCGCCCGCCGGUCGUGCUGACGUUGGCUGCUUCCUGUCGCCUCCGGGGCCUCCGAGCAAUAGAGGCUUGUUCCAUCCUUCUAGGCCUAGCGUGGCAACGGCCUUCCUUUUGUUAUUAUUGUCCCCCCAUUCCUUACCGGAUCGGGGAGACCUUUCUUCCCG
Molecule: long non-coding RNA, 233 nt
Filed under: Setaria viridis
Lineage: Eukaryota; Viridiplantae; Streptophyta; Magnoliopsida; Poales; Poaceae
Description: long non-coding RNA (SVIR_LNC005775)
Source: RNAcentral